This 274-nucleotide ribosomal RNA is filed under the name uncultured bacterium. RNAcentral's name for it is "partial 16S ribosomal RNA". It matches the Rfam family "Bacterial small subunit ribosomal RNA", at positions 523 to 796 of the family's 1533-position model. The record is from RNAcentral.
AUACGGAGGGAGCAAGCGUUAUUCGGAAUCACUGGGCGUAAAGGACGCGUAGGCGGGUUUGUAAGUCAGGUGUGAAAUCCUACAGCUCAACUGUAGAACUGCACUUGAAACUACAGACCUAGAGUAUGGAAGGGGCAGAUGGAAUUAGUGGUGUAGGGGUAAAAUCCGUAGAUAUCACUAGGAAUACCGAAAGCGAAGGCGGUCUGCUGGGACAUUACUGACGCUGAGGCGUGAAAGCGUGGGGAGCAAACAGGAUUAGAAACCCCAGUAGUCC